This 319-nucleotide ribosomal RNA is filed under the name uncultured eukaryote. RNAcentral describes it as "partial 18S ribosomal RNA". It matches the Rfam family "Eukaryotic small subunit ribosomal RNA", at positions 1470 to 1796 of the family's 1831-position model. The record is from RNAcentral.
CCCUUAGAUGUUCUGGGCUGCACGCGUGCUACAAUGAAGCGUCCAACAAGAUGCGAAGCCGAAAGGCUCAGCGGAUCUUUGAAGUCGUUUCGUGACCGGGACAGUUGAUUGCAAUUAUUCGACUCGAACGAGGAAUUCCUUGUAAUCGCGAUUCAUCAUAUCGCGCUGAAUACAUCCCUGCCCUUUGUACACACCGCCCGUCGCUCCUACCGAUUGAGCGAUCCGGUGAAUUAUUUGGAGUGUCCACGCAAGCCAAUCCGUUUACGUGGGUGCGAAAUUUUGUAAACCUUAUCGCUUAGAGGAAGGAAAAGUCGUAACA